This 367-nucleotide ribosomal RNA is filed under the name uncultured bacterium. Its description in RNAcentral is "partial 16S ribosomal RNA". It matches the Rfam family "Bacterial small subunit ribosomal RNA", at positions 338 to 702 of the family's 1533-position model. The record is from RNAcentral.
CCUACGGGUGGCAGCAGUGAGGAAUAUUGGUCAAUGGACGCAAGUCUGAACCAGCCAUGCCGCGUGCAGGAUGACGGCUCUAUGAGUUGUAAACUGCUUUUGUACGAGGGUAAACCGAGAUACGUGUAUCGGGUUGAAAGUAACGUACGAAUAAGGAUAGGCUAACUCCGUGCCAGCAGCCGCGGUAAUACGGAGGAUCCGAGCGUUAUCCGGCUUUAUUGGGUUUAACGGGUGCGUAGGCGGUUUGGUAAGUUAGAGGUGAAAUGUCGGGGCUCAACCCCGAAACUGCCUCUCAUACUGUUGGCCUAGAUAAUAGUUGCGGUAGGCGGAAUGUAUGGUGUAGCGGUGAAAUGCUUCGAGAUCAUCC